GAUGAACGCUGGCGGCGUGCCUAAUACAUGCAAGUCGAGCGAACAGAUGAUGAGCUUGCUCCUCUGACGUUAGCGGCGGACGGGUGAGUAACACGUGGAUAACCUACCUAUAAGACUGGGAUAACUUCGGGACUCCGGAGCUAAUACCGUAUAAUAUAUUGCACCGCAUGGUUCAAUAGUGAAAGACGGUUUUGCUGUCACUUAUAGCUGGAUCCGCGCCGCAUUAGCUAGUUGGGCAGGUAACGGCUUAUUAAGGCAACGAUGCGUAGCCGACGGGAGAGGGUGAUAGGCCACCUGGGAAGGGAAACAGGGACAAGAGGACUGAGGGAGGCAGCAGUAGGGAACGGGACGCAGUAGGCGAAAGUAUGACGGAGCAACGCCGCGUGAGUGAUGAAGGUGUUGGGAGCGGAAAAAUCGGUUAUGAGGGAAGAACAAAUGCGGAAGGAACUAAGCACGGAUUGACGGUACCUAAUAAGAAAGCAACGGCUAACUACGUG
RNAcentral lists this ribosomal RNA (497 nucleotides) under uncultured bacterium. RNAcentral's name for it is "partial 16S ribosomal RNA". It matches the Rfam family "Bacterial small subunit ribosomal RNA", at positions 28 to 507 of the family's 1533-position model. The record is from RNAcentral.